CCCGGCCUGAAACUGCUAAUGUCCAUCUAACACAAGGCACCACCACCUGUUAAGCUAUACUCUUGGAAUUCAACUAUUAUCCUGACUGGAAUCUCCCAAAUAAUCUCAUCAGACAACUCAAGCCCUUUCGGAGGUUUAACUCGCUAGAAGUUCAAGAAAUUGAGAGAGAGAAUCCAAGCUGGUCCUGACAUUUCAUUAGCUUCCUUGUCUGAGAUAUACUAAAAAAAUUGUUGGCUUUUGUCGAUUAAACUCUCUGGCGGCUUCACCCACCAAAGCAAAAGAGCGUGCAAAAAUCUUCCACUGCUUGGUACAGAUGUAUAUGAACCAAGUCAAGCAUUCGCCAAACAAAAAGAAAGGUUAAAAACAUAGCACUGUCACCAUAACCGAUAACUCUUUUCCUGCAUAUAUAUAAUAUAACACCUGUACUGCAAUUAUACUUCACGUACUGUUAACCCUAGCUCGUAAGAAUCCACCAUGAAACCUCCUUUAAAGAAAUCUAUUGUUAGUUGGACCCAAAUCUUGAAAUCGACCCAAUAGACCCGAGACGGGUAAAAUUCG
RNAcentral lists this unclassified non-coding RNA (558 nucleotides) under Hevea brasiliensis (rubber tree). The record is from RNAcentral. Lineage: Eukaryota; Viridiplantae; Streptophyta; Magnoliopsida; Malpighiales; Euphorbiaceae.